This 1042-nucleotide long non-coding RNA is filed under the name Homo sapiens (human). RNAcentral describes it as "HSALNT0347512". The record is from RNAcentral. Lineage: Eukaryota; Metazoa; Chordata; Mammalia; Primates; Hominidae.
UCACAGUUGUUCUCAAUUAUUUGGAUAUUUAAUUCACUCCUCUGAGUUUCCAGUUUACACCAAGCCAACCCCCCCAACACCACGGGCCCACCCGGGGGGUCCUGAUCCCUGCACACACCAGGUCAUCUCUGUUGGGCCCCGGCGCUCUGGCCCGCGCCGGUCUUGGGCCCCAGGGUAGCGGCCACUGCGGGCGGAGCAGAGGGAAACACCAGAGUCUGUGACUCCAGACAGGACCCACUGUGUCCUCUUGAACUUUGCACAGCGCGUGACGGGGGCAGACGGUGCACCGUGGCCCGGCCUUUCGCGGGGGUCCUCGGGGAAGAGAGAGGAGCGCGGGUUUCCUCGGAGGCCUGAGCGGGACGCAGCCUGCAGCCCCUCCCCGCACGGGCUGCCCCCGGCCCGCCGCUCGCGCCGCUCUGCUGGGAUCCGGCGCCUUCCCCGGCUGUCCUCGGCCUCCCGCGCGCUCCGCGGGAGGAGCCGCCAGCGGCCGUGACGCGUCAAGGAGGAAACGCCGGCGCCCGGCGGCCCUGCCGGGAAGGAGGAAGCGCAGUGCGUUCGGCUCCGCGCCCGCCGCGCCGGGAGCAGCACCGCGGGGCCAGAUGAAGAAACUGAGGCAUGGAAAUGUUAAAGUGCUUUAGCCUGGAUUGCACAGCAGGAAUCACAGUGAAAAGCAGUUUGGAAAUGUGGCUCAGAUCAUGCAAAGCUGUUGGAGAAACUAUCGCUGCUUUUUGUUGUAUUACUUUCUGGAUCUGUGUGAUUUCUGGUAAAAAUUGAUAGUAACAUAAAUUUAUUAAUGCUUUUUUUUCUUUUUCUUUCUUUUUUUUUUUUUUUUUUUUUACCAUUUUGAAAUGAUGUAUGGUGUGAUUGUUAGAGAUGGAUCAGCAUGAUUGGUCAUCUUGGUUUUUAAAGGAAGCCAGUGCUUGGCUUCAAAUAAUGCUAUGUGGAAUUUUAUUUAUGUGGUAUACCUUGCUUAAAAAUUGUAAAAAUUGUUAAAAUUGUGAAAACCAAAAUAAAUUUUCUUUCCACUUCUAUUAAAAUUUUC